Armigeres subalbatus is the source of this 1451-nucleotide long non-coding RNA. RefSeq lists it as uncharacterized. The record is from RefSeq and is a predicted model, not a curated record. Lineage: Eukaryota; Metazoa; Arthropoda; Insecta; Diptera; Culicidae. The transcript has 3 exons.
ACAGAGAAAAAAAAAGUUGUGUUUUUCACAUUUUCUAAUCUUAUUUUGAAAGUUUGGAAAAUUUGGUAUAUUUGAGUGCUAAAAUAUUUAAUUUGAAAGCAAAAUGUUUGAUUUGAUAGUUUUUAUCUCAGUGUAAAAUUGUUAUUUUUACAGUGGAAGCACUCAGAACAAAAUUUUUAAAACAGUCAAAUCUACUUUCAUGUUUCAUUUUCUGGCAUCACAGAUCAUAAAAAAAAAAUGUAACUGGCAGCCCGCUUCGAUCUGUCAACCAAAAUUUGAAGAAAAUAAAGCGGAGAAACUUUUCCCGGAGGGGUUUCUGGAAAAGAUUGGAAAAUAUACUGUAUGUAAAGCACAACCAGCGAGGUAAAGGCAAAUUGAACAGCUGAAGAACGAAGAGACAAUGUACGGCAGUUCCAACCACGCGAUCAUGUUCAGAAUGCAUUUACAGUUCCUCGUUUCGGCUCGAAAAAUUAUCUGGCGUGGAAUUUUUCCCAAUCAGACCGAUGUUUCUCUACGCCGAAGCCUACGCCCUAUUGCCUGCUUCCCUUACGCAACCAAAUUGUUCGCUUCCGGCUCGUGGCAGUACCAUAUGAUGUGAGCCCCUGCAUGUUUACUCCGGCGAAGUAGAGCUCCUGCGCCAUGAAGAAAAAAUGUACCACGAAAGGAAAGGAGAAUAACGUGACCGGUGAGUAGAUGUUUGGACAGAGUAUUUUGGUACAAUAACAAAAUCUAAACGAGGCUAAAAAUUCUACGAUUCCAUUUUCAUUUCAACUUUAUUUAUCUCUAUCCCUGUAGGACGACAAUGAUGACGGAGAUGUAAAUUACGAAAAGCUUUCAAACGGUCGCUACGUGAAAAGGGUGAAGGAUCGUUGCCAUGCAUAGGCGUUCGUUUGCUUCCGAUGGUCGUGUACUAUGUAUAGUGCUCAUUUCGCCCAAGUACAAAUAGAAUGCUCGUCUAGUGCCACCUCCAGUAAUAAAAGGUUACAAUCGGGCGAAUUCCAUAUCCAUUUGGAACUGCGCGUAAGCUGUACGAAUGUGUAUUAGAUGGCCCACUCCGGAUCCUGCAUUUUCCGGUCGCUUUGAAGAAUGAUGCGUGGAGCAAAAAGAGAAUCGCCGCUGCAUCAAAGAGCGAUGCCUUUCGGAGUGCAUCAAAAUUCCGUGGCAUUCGAAGUCGUGGUAAACGAUCACCAUCGCUUAUUCUGGCACCACCAAAGCAAGGGAAUGGAAUAUAGGAAUAUUCGAAACACUGAUAAUAAGCAUAAUUCGUUCCUGUUGCGGCCAUCGUUCUAAUUUUUGGGUGACCGGUUGAACCAUCUUGCAAAUUUGGUGUGCACUUCGUGAUAGUUCCCGUUACAAUCCACUAGUAAUUGUGUCUAUGUGAAAAACGAGAGCUGUAAAUACGCUCCAUCAACUAUCCAUUAACUAUUAUUAUGAAGCAGUUAAGAAAAAUA